This 339-nucleotide ribosomal RNA is filed under the name Triticum aestivum (bread wheat). RNAcentral describes it as "partial small subunit ribosomal RNA". The record is from RNAcentral. Lineage: Eukaryota; Viridiplantae; Streptophyta; Magnoliopsida; Poales; Poaceae.
AUGAAACCCUUCCAUUUAGAGUUCUAUGAUUGUGUUUUCUCUAAUGAAAGCACUGAAGAAACGUCCAGACAACUUUUGUGGGUCUGUUGCUUCUCUCGAGAUUGUUGGAACAACAUCCUUCCUCCCAAAAAACUAGGUAGCUCUAUUUUGGAUGAUACCCUAUUAGCUCACCAGCUGCUUCCCUCUCAGAUGACUAUGGAAAUAGUCAUUCAUGGCUACAUUUGGUUUCAAAGGAAUGGGAAUGUUUUCAGAAAUGAGGUCCCUAAUGUGUAUUGUUGGAAGUUUAAGCUAAAGCGGGAUUUAAAGUUGCUGGAGCAUGAAAUCAAGGCAAAAACCUAG